ACAGGGACAGGUGCCAGGUGCCAGGGACAGGUGCCAGGGACAAGUGCCAGGUGACAGGGAUGGGGAAAGGUGCCAGUGCCAGGUGGCAGGUGCCAGGGGACAGGUGUCAGGGACAGGUGACAGGUGACAAGGACAGGUGCCAGGAACAGGGACAGGUGCUAGGUGACAGGGACAGGGAGGGGUAACAGGGACAGGGACAGGGACAGGUGACAGG
Haemorhous mexicanus (house finch) is the source of this 214-nucleotide long non-coding RNA. RefSeq lists it as uncharacterized. The transcript has 3 exons. The record is from RefSeq and is a predicted model, not a curated record. NCBI's taxonomy places the organism in Eukaryota, Metazoa, Chordata, Aves, Passeriformes, Fringillidae.